AUCCAGCUGAUGAGUCCAAAAUAGGACGAAACGUGCGUCCUGGAU
Molecule: non-coding RNA, 45 nt
Organism: Schistosoma curassoni
Lineage: Eukaryota; Metazoa; Platyhelminthes; Trematoda; Strigeidida; Schistosomatidae
Source: Rfam